UACGUAGGGGGCAAGCGUUGUCCGGAUUUAUUGGACGUAAAGAGCGCGCAGGCGGUCGUUCAAGUCGCGUGUGAAAGCCCCCGGCUCAACUGGGGAGGGUCACGCGAUACUGAUCGACUCGAAGGCAGGAGAGGGAAGUGGAAUUCCCGGUGUAGUGGUGAAAUGCGUAGAUAUCGGGAGGAACACCAGUGGCGAAGGCGACUUCCUGGCCUGUUCUUGACGCUGAGGCGCGAAAGCUAGGGGAGCAAACGGG
This 253-nucleotide ribosomal RNA is filed under the name uncultured bacterium. Its description in RNAcentral is "partial 16S ribosomal RNA". It matches the Rfam family "Bacterial small subunit ribosomal RNA", at positions 524 to 776 of the family's 1533-position model. The record is from RNAcentral.